GAUAAAAGGUACUCCGGGGAUAACAGGCUGAUACCGCCCAAGAGUUCAUAUCGACGGCGGUGUUUGGCACCUCGAUGUCGGCUCAUCACAUCCUGGGGCUGAAGUAGGUCCCAAGGGUAUGGCUGUUCGCCAUUUAAAGUGGUACGCGAGCUGGGUUUAGAACGUCGUGAGACAGUUCGGUCCCUAUCUGCCGUGGGCGCUGGAGAACUGAGGGGGGCUGCUCCUAGUACGAGAGGACCGGAGUGGACGCAUCACUGGUGUUCGGGUUGUCAUGCCAAUGGCACUGCCCGGUAGCUAAAUGCGGAAGAGAUAAGUGCUGAAAGCAUCUAAGCACGAAACUUGCCCCGAGAUGAGUUCUCCCUGAGACUUAGAGUCUCCUGAAGGAACGUUGAAGACGACGACGUUGAUAGGCCGGGUGUGUAAGCGCAGCGAUGCGUUGAGCUAACCGGUACUAAUGAACCGUGAGGCUUAACCUUAC
RNAcentral lists this ribosomal RNA (478 nucleotides) under Salmonella enterica subsp. enterica serovar Havana str. CFSAN001082. RNAcentral describes it as "bacterial LSU rRNA". It matches the Rfam family "Bacterial large subunit ribosomal RNA", at positions 2455 to 2925 of the family's 2925-position model. Lineage: Bacteria; Pseudomonadati; Pseudomonadota; Gammaproteobacteria; Enterobacterales; Enterobacteriaceae. The record is from RNAcentral.